GUGGUAUCGGGGACUCGGCCGGCAUCGUUAGCACAGAAGAUCCUCAGUCAUAGUUAACAAAAUGGAAAAAAAUUAGCUGUGUUUUUAAGAUUCCAGUGGUGGCCAUCAACUGCUCAGGAAAGCAGCCCAGAAUCACUUCACAACAGGUUUCCAAAGGAUCAUCAUUCAUCAGCACAGAAGGGUGGGAAAGAGAAGGCUGUUCAAAUUCUGAAAAGCCAGAGCUGCAAAGGAGGUCAAAGAUGCAGUGCAGUUGGCCCACUCAGUAGAGUUUCACUAGUGGUUCUGAUGUGGACUGAAGAUUACACGCUGGAUUGAAGUGGCCGGUCUGGAGCAGCUGUAGUUCUUCAUUCUUGCUGAUUGUGGACGAGUAAGAGCCCGUGUUGGCCCCGAUCGGCGAUCGCUGGCCAAAGCCCACCACCAGUUUGGUGAUAGGCGUUGGCUGUGAUAUCUAGUGUCGCCUAUGUGUGAAAAGGACAAGUUGAUAACAAAACCUGUUGCGCCAUGUUAUUAACCCGCGCCCGGGUGGCCCUCAGCCAACUUGGGGGGGGGGGAGAGGUGUAUUCGGCCACACCAGGUUAUCUUGGAAUGUAGCAAAGCUGGAAAGACGCAGUAAAAUCAAUCUAUAGACCGCUAUUUUUCUUCAGAAUCAUACAGGUCAUUUUUGAUCAGGUCAUCGCUGAGGUCACUGGAGGUCACCAAAAUUAAAAUGAUGACGAAUUUUGCCCCCCGAUUUUGACAACUUCACAAAUUGGUUCAUAAUUCGGGAACCAAAGAAGCUACAGCGCCGCGGAAAAGCGAAUUCGAUAGCUCUUUCGAAAAUCUUUCAGGUUCUCAGAUUUGAGCUAAGGUCAACUAGGGUUAAGCCUCCAAAGGGCAAAAACUGAACAAUCGGCUUGCUUCGGAAGUCGUCUUUUCUUU
Molecule: long non-coding RNA, 918 nt
Filed under: Amphibalanus amphitrite
Lineage: Eukaryota; Metazoa; Arthropoda; Thecostraca; Balanomorpha; Balanidae
Description: uncharacterized LOC122384171, transcript variant X5
Source: RNAcentral